RNAcentral lists this transfer RNA (71 nucleotides) under Rhodopirellula sp. RNAcentral describes it as "tRNA-Cys". It matches the Rfam family "tRNA". From Rfam's summary of the family: Transfer RNA (tRNA) molecules are approximately 80 nucleotides in length. Their secondary structure includes four short double-helical elements and three loops (D, anti-codon, and T loops). The record is from RNAcentral. Lineage: Bacteria; Pseudomonadati; Planctomycetota; Planctomycetia; Pirellulales; Pirellulaceae. RNAcentral also lists the same sequence under 1 other name.
GACGCUGGAGCCAGACGGCACGGCCACCGGCUGCAACCCGGUUCAAGUGGGUUCGACUCCCACCGGCGUCU